This 253-nucleotide ribosomal RNA is filed under the name uncultured bacterium. RNAcentral's name for it is "partial 16S ribosomal RNA". It matches the Rfam family "Bacterial small subunit ribosomal RNA", at positions 524 to 776 of the family's 1533-position model. The record is from RNAcentral.
UACGUAGGGGGCAAGCGUUAUCCGGAUUUACUGGGUGUAAAGGGAGCGUAGACGGCUUUACGAGCCAGAUGUGAAAGCCCGGGGCUCAACCCCGGGACUGCAUUUGGAACUGUGUGGCUAGAGUGUCGGAGAGGCAGGCGGAAUUCCUAGUGUAGCGGUGAAAUGCGUAGAUAUUAGGAGGAACACCAGUGGCGAAGGCGGCCUGCUGGACGAUGACUGACGUUGAGGCUCGAAAGCGUGGGGAGCAAACAGG